GACGUAGGGCGCGAGCGUUGUCCGGAUUUACUGGGCGUAAAGCGCGUGUAGGCGGCUUUGCAAGUCGGAUGUGAAAGCCCACGGCUCAACCGUGGAAGUGCAUCCGAAACUGCAUGGCUCGAGUCUCGGAGAGGAAGGUGGAAUGCUUGGUGUAGUGGUGAAAUGCGUAGAGAUCGGGAGGAACACCCGUGGCGAAGGCGGCCAACUGGGCCGGACCUGACGCUGAGGCGCGAAGGCGUGGGGAGCGAACGGG
Molecule: ribosomal RNA, 253 nt
Filed under: uncultured bacterium
Lineage: Bacteria
Description: partial 16S ribosomal RNA
Rfam family: Bacterial small subunit ribosomal RNA
Source: RNAcentral